GGAAUGUGAGCUAUGGAGCAGAAUUUGUGCCUAGUGCUGAAGAUGGAUACACUGUGAUAAUCCAGAAGAACAGGAAAAUUGCUGCAGCUGAUGAAACAGUAAUUAGCAACACCUUCAAAGUUGGUGAACCUGGAAAAGUUGUACUCACCAUUGAUAACCAAACAUCCAAGAAAAAGAAGCUGCUUUACAGGUCCAAGACCAUACCCAUCUCUGAGUAAAAGGAAAAAUGUUUAAAUUCAUUAUAUGGUCAAUAACAUUAUUGUGAAGGUUAU
This 272-nucleotide long non-coding RNA is filed under the name Medicago truncatula (barrel medic). RNAcentral's name for it is "long non-coding RNA (MTRU_LNC001629)". The record is from RNAcentral. Lineage: Eukaryota; Viridiplantae; Streptophyta; Magnoliopsida; Fabales; Fabaceae.